UCCGGCUCUACGCCGACAGUCUCUCUAGAGUCCCCGCCAUGACGCGAUGGCAACUGACGACAGGGGUUUCGCUCGUUAGGGGACUUAACCCAACACCUCAAGGCACGAGCUGACGACAGCCAUGCAACACCUGUGCAGGUUACGCCCGAAGGCAAUCCCUCGGCUUUCACCGAGUUAAUCCCUGCAUGUCAAGCCCUGGUAAGGUUCUUCGCGUUGCUUCGAAUUGAGCAACAUCCUCCACCGCUUGUGUGAGCCCCCGUCAAUUCCUUUGAGUUUCAGCCUUGCGGCCGUACUCCCCAGGCGGGGCACUUAUCGCGUUAGCUGCGGCACCGAGGGGGUCGCUCCCCCCGGCACCUAGUGCCCAUCGUUUACGGCGUGGACUA
Molecule: unclassified non-coding RNA, 383 nt
Filed under: uncultured Planctomycetota bacterium
Lineage: Bacteria; Pseudomonadati; Planctomycetota
Description: uncultured planctomycete contains 16S-23S intergenic spacer region
Source: RNAcentral